RNAcentral lists this ribosomal RNA (497 nucleotides) under uncultured bacterium. Its description in RNAcentral is "partial 16S ribosomal RNA". It matches the Rfam family "Bacterial small subunit ribosomal RNA", at positions 28 to 507 of the family's 1533-position model. The record is from RNAcentral.
GAUGAACGCUGGCGGCGUGCCUAAUACAUGCAAGUCGAGCGAACAGACGAGGAGCUUGCUCCUCUGACGUUAGCGGCGGACGGGUGAGUAACACGUGGAUAACCUACCUAUAAGACUGGGAUAACUUCGGGAAACCGGAGCUAAUACCGGAUAAUAUAUUGAACCGCAUGGUUCAAUAGUGAAAGACGGUUUUGCUGUCACUUAUAGAUGGAUCCGCGCCGCAUUAGCUAGUUGGUAAGGUAACGGCUUACCAAGGCAACGAUGCGUAGCCGACGUGAGAGGGUGAUCGGCCACACUGGAACGGAGACACGGUCCAGACUCCUACGGGAGGCAGCAGUAGGGAAUCUUCCGCAAUGGGCGAAAGCCUGACGGAGCAACGCCGCGUGAGUGAUGAAGGUCUUCGGAUCGUAAAACUCUGUUAUUAGGGAAGAACAAAUGUGUAAGUAACUAUGCACGUCUUGACGGUACCUAAUCAGAAAGCCACGGCUAACUACGUG